RNAcentral lists this ribosomal RNA (103 nucleotides) under Sciurus vulgaris (Eurasian red squirrel). RNAcentral describes it as "partial large subunit ribosomal RNA". The record is from RNAcentral. Lineage: Eukaryota; Metazoa; Chordata; Mammalia; Rodentia; Sciuridae.
AAUGAAUUAACUAGAAAAGACUUUACAAAAAGAAUUAAAGUAAAAUACCCCGAAACCAAACGAGCUACUAAUGAGCAAUUGAAAGAAUAAACCCGUCUAUGUU